Molecule: long non-coding RNA, 977 nt
Organism: Cucurbita moschata (crookneck pumpkin)
Lineage: Eukaryota; Viridiplantae; Streptophyta; Magnoliopsida; Cucurbitales; Cucurbitaceae
Exons: 2
Source: RefSeq, a predicted model, not a curated record
CGGGAGUCGAACCCGGGUCUAUUGCUUGGAAGGCAAUUAUCCUAACCGUUGGACUACAAACGCAAUUUGUUAAGAAAGGUUUUAAUUAUAUAUAAACUAAGUAUUUUUAAUAUAUUUAAUAUACGAUAAAUAAAAUAUUUUGUAGGGCAUUUCAAUAAUUGUUCAGAAGUUAACGAAGAUAUGUUAUUUAAUUAAACUGAAAGUAUCGAAUAAUAAAAUAUUUUUUUGGGUUUUGUCAAAAGAUUUAUAUAAUGAGUUCUUGAAUUGCUGAUUGCAAAGGCAAGCAUUUUCGAAAUCGGUCGACCCUUGAAAUGAGAAGAGAUGGGGCAAUUGCAGCACCCAAAAGCCGUCGGACAUUAAAUUUUGUGGCUGGUUUGCACGUUGAAAAGCAAUCUGAGGAGGCCAACCAUUUCUUGAGGCGAAGAUUCAUGCUUCAUUUCUUCGGAGAAUCUGCGCUGAAUAUGGGAAGAACUUCUAUUUGGGAACUCUGCUGAUGACGAAGGAGCGGCAGAGAGCAAUAUAUGGAAUUAUGAAGAUAACCCAUCUCAGAGAAGCCAUGAAAACGAGAACAGAUGAACUUGUGAAAGUCCCCAAGUGCUUGAUGGGUGCAAAGAAUGUUUGCAAGACAUCUUUGAAGGGUGUCCCUAGGACGUGCUGGAAGCUGCUUUUAAGUCACACAACGUCCAAAUUUCGAUUCAAAAUGAGAAAAGAAUCGGACAGCAGUAGGAGCCCUAAAGAGGAAAGGGGCAGGAGAACUCAGUCCUUUAAAGCGGUUUGGAAUAACUUUCUAAACACUUGCGAACACAUUUUUUCACAUAAUUACACAUUUUUAAGUACUCAACAAAGUCAUCCUUAUCUUUUGAUUGAGGAUAUGAUAGUUUUGAAGAACUGUAUUGGUACUGUUACCAUGUAGCUGGAACUGCGAGGCUAAUGAGUGUGCCAGUUAUGGUAAUUGCAUCUGAUUCUUUGCUUCCUAC